Molecule: ribosomal RNA, 259 nt
Filed under: uncultured bacterium
Lineage: Bacteria
Description: partial 16S ribosomal RNA
Rfam family: Bacterial small subunit ribosomal RNA
Source: RNAcentral
GUCCACGCCGUAAACGAUGUCAACUUGGAGUCUGUGCCAUUGAGCGUGGGCUCCGAAGCUAACGCGAUAAGUUGACCGCCUGGGAGUACGGCCGCAAGGUUAAACUCAAAUGAAUUGACGGGGCCCGCACAAGCGGUGGAGCAUGUGGUUUAAUUCGAUGCAACGCGAAGAACCUUACCUGGCCUUGACAUGUCUGGAACCUUGUAGAGAUACGAGGGUGCCUUCGGGAAUCAGAACACAGGUGCUGCAUGGCUGUCGU